RNAcentral lists this ribosomal RNA (497 nucleotides) under uncultured bacterium. RNAcentral's name for it is "partial 16S ribosomal RNA". It matches the Rfam family "Bacterial small subunit ribosomal RNA", at positions 28 to 507 of the family's 1533-position model. The record is from RNAcentral.
GACGAACGCUGGCGGCGUGCCUAAUACAUGCAAGUAGAACGCUGGGGAGAGGAGCUUGCUCUUCUUGGAUGAGUUGCGAACGGGUGAGUAACGCGUAGGUAACCUGCCUUGUAGCGGGGGAUAACUAUUGGAAACGAUAGCUAAUACCGCAUAACAAUGGAUGACACAUGUCAUUUAUUUGAAAGGGGCAAUUGCUCCACUACAAGAUGGACCUGCGUUGUAUUAGCUAGUAGGUGAGGUAAUGGCUCACCUAGGCGACGAUACAUAGCCGACCUGAGAGGGUGAUCGGCCACACUGGGACUGAGACACGGCCCAGACUCCUACGGGAGGCAGCAGUAGGGAAUCUUCGGCAAUGGGGGCAACCCUGACCGAGCAACGCCGCGUGAGUGAAGAAGGUUUUCGGAUCGUAAAGCUCUGUUGUAAGUCAAGAACGGGUGUGAGAGUGGAAAGUUCACACUGUGACGGUAGCUUACCAGAAAGGGACGGCUAACUACGUG